This 775-nucleotide long non-coding RNA is filed under the name Citrus x clementina. RNAcentral describes it as "Citrus clementina (C. clementina) long non-coding RNA (CCLE_LNC005299)". Lineage: Eukaryota; Viridiplantae; Streptophyta; Magnoliopsida; Sapindales; Rutaceae. The record is from RNAcentral.
UUAUAAGUUCUUCAUCGUAUAAAUAUGAGAUCAAUUCAAUGUAAUUUCUAAGUUAUAGAAAUUACUAUUUACUAAGCAUUUUAGUACUGUAAUUUUUGACUUAUAGACUUACAGUUGCCCAACUUUAAUAUCAACCAGAACCUAAUUUAAGUGAUUUUGAUAACCUAAAUUUUAAUUUUGAUUUUGGAGGCGACGAAAUAAAAAAGUACCAAAUUUGAAGCGACGAUAAUUUAAGUGCAAGUUUGAAAGGGCCAAAACCCACUAUUUAUAAUUGCAUAAAUUUCAGUUAAUACCCUGAUCUUUCCUGAAUCCUCCAAACAGCACCUCAAUGAAAAAACAAUGUAUCACGUGCUAAAGCCACAAGCUGUUAAUACAAGUGUUUGCAUGCUUUCCUUAAACCAAUACUAUAAUUUUCUUAUUUUUACUUCAUUUAAAAAGUAGAAUUGGGAAAAUCUAAAUUAAUUUUUUAACCGUUUAUUAGCUAAAAAUUCAAACUCAAAUCACCAAUAUGAAAAAAGCUGCUUCAUUGCGGCGGAGGGAAGCGACUCGCAUGGUUGGGAGGCUAGGUGUAUAAUUAGCUAUAUUGGCCCAUUAGAAAAGUUGGAUGUUGAUGGCUUGUACGCGUAAUGAUUUUAAUUGGGGAAAAUGAUAAUGAAAUUGAAUGCGGACAGAAUGCUGCUAUCAAUACAUUAGUCUUUAACCAGGCAUGGAAAGUUAGGAUUUGAAUUUAUAUAAAAAUGGGCUCAUAAAUGAAAAUAAACCAUUUUCACGCAAU